Molecule: long non-coding RNA, 530 nt
Organism: Aethina tumida (small hive beetle)
Lineage: Eukaryota; Metazoa; Arthropoda; Insecta; Coleoptera; Nitidulidae
Exons: 3
Source: RefSeq, a predicted model, not a curated record
UCGGUCGUCGGUCGGUCGUCGGUCGGGGUGGUGGUCCGCGCUGCCGUCCACCCCAAUUAAUUCGGUGGUGCGGUUCGGGUUAGUGCAGUCCCUCGUGCGAUCAAUUAGUGCCCUACUGGACAUGCUACGGGGUUAAAAGUGAUGAAGUGUUUUCUCCAACGUGACUUUGAUGGACAAAUCCUGAAGUGUGAUGACCCAACCAACCAUUGGAGAGACGAUAAGGCAACAGGGAAAGGGCAUUAAAGGUAGGUCCAGAACGAGACUAGUUAACUGGGCAACUGGCAACGCAAAGUAAGUUUUUGAACAUGAUAUUUCCGGUUCUCCUUUCGUCCUUUCAACUUUGCCAUCGGUUCAUCAUUGCGUCCAUCAAUUACUUUAAUAAAUAUUUGCGGAAGGUAUUGUUCCACUUUCCCAAAAGGAGAGUUUUCGUAAAGCAUUGUUUAUUGUUUCAUGUGUCCUUUGAGUAAUGUACCCCGACAUUCUCUUUCAGCUUUCAUAAAUAACGAAAACUUUUAUAACUAUCUAUUCCU